ACGAACGCUGGCGGCGUGCUUAACCCAUGCAAGUCGAACGGAAAGGCCCCUUUGGGGGUACUCGAGUGGCGAACGGGUGAGUAACACGUGAGUAACCUGCCCUUGACUUCGGGAUAACUUCAGGAAACUGGGGCUAAUACCGGAUAGGAAUCCUUGCUGCAUGGUGGGGGUUGGAAAGCUUCGGCGGUUUUGGAUGGACUCGCGGCUUAUCAGCUUGUUGGUGGGGUAGUGGCUUACCAAGGCUUUGACGGGUAGCCGGCCUGAGCGGGCGACCGGCCACAUUGGGACUGAGAUACGGCCCAGACUCCUACGGGAGGCAGCAGUGGGGAAUAUUGCACAAUGGGCGGAAGCCUGAUGCAGCAACGCCGCGUGCGGGAUGACGGCCUUCGGGUUGUAAACCGCUUUCAGCAGGGGCGAAGCUUUUGUGACGGUACCUGCAGAAGAAGCACCGGCUAACUACGUG
This 463-nucleotide ribosomal RNA is filed under the name uncultured bacterium. Its description in RNAcentral is "partial 16S ribosomal RNA". It matches the Rfam family "Bacterial small subunit ribosomal RNA", at positions 29 to 507 of the family's 1533-position model. The record is from RNAcentral.